RNAcentral lists this ribosomal RNA (253 nucleotides) under uncultured bacterium. Its description in RNAcentral is "partial 16S ribosomal RNA". It matches the Rfam family "Bacterial small subunit ribosomal RNA", at positions 524 to 776 of the family's 1533-position model. The record is from RNAcentral.
AACGUAGGUGGCGAGCGUUAUCCGGAUUUACUGGGCGUAAAGCGUGUGCAGGCGGACUAACAAGUGGUGUAUGAAAUCGCUCGGCUAAACCGGGCGGGGUUAUGCCAGACUGUUAGUCUGGAGUGCGAGAGAGGGGCGUGGAAUUCCUGGUGUAGCGGUGAAAUGCGCAGAUAUCAGGAGGAACACCGGUGGCGAAGGCGGUUCUCUGGGCAUUACCUGACGCUGAGGAGCGAAAGUGUGGGGAGCGAACAGG